AGAACUACCAAAAAGAUUGGGAGUUCUACAACAGCUAAUAAGAACGAUGUAGAUGUAAAGACAUGCAUGGUAGGUUUUUAGGCAGCAGGCUUCUCCCAUUUAAGAGGCUUGACCACCUCCCAGGUGAAGUCGGGGUCGUCCCUUCCAAAGUGUCCGUAAGCUGCAGUCUUGAGGUACCUGCCAUUGCCUCCCCUCUUCAAGUCGAGGUUGAUGGUGAUCAUCCCCGGCCUGAAGUCAAAGUUCUCCUUCACAAUCUUCAGGAUCUCCUUGUCCGGGAUAUUGCCAGUGCCGUAGGUGUCCACGAACACCGACAGAG
This 316-nucleotide long non-coding RNA is filed under the name Musa acuminata (dwarf banana). RNAcentral describes it as "long non-coding RNA (MACU_LNC000230)". Lineage: Eukaryota; Viridiplantae; Streptophyta; Magnoliopsida; Zingiberales; Musaceae. The record is from RNAcentral.